GGAUGAAGAACGUAGCGAAAUGCGAUAAGUAGUGUGAAUUGCAGAAUUACCUGAAUCAUCGAAUCUUUGAACGCACAUUGCGCCCCCUGGUAUUCCUGGGGGCAUGCCUGUUCGAGCGUCAUUAACAACCAAUCGGGCGGGGCUUUGCAUGCUCCCGCUCGGCCAUGGGGGAUGGACGUCGUCGGACGCCCACCCCCGAAAUGCAACGGCGGACGGCCACCCGUGGCACUGCGGCGUAGUAAGUUAACCCUUCGCGCGCGCCCACGGAGUGGACUGCCCGGCCGCUUGAACCCCCCCACAUCCUACGGUUGACCUCGGAUCAGGUAGGGAUACCCGCUGAACUUAAGCAUAUCAAUAAGCGGAGGA
This 366-nucleotide unclassified non-coding RNA is filed under the name soil metagenome. RNAcentral describes it as "partial contains 5.8S ribosomal RNA, internal transcribed spacer 2, and large subunit ribosomal RNA". The stretch from base 2 to 121 matches the Rfam family "5.8S ribosomal RNA", at positions 35 to 154 of the family's 154-position model. The record is from RNAcentral.